This 31-nucleotide non-coding RNA is filed under the name Rattus norvegicus (Norway rat). Lineage: Eukaryota; Metazoa; Chordata; Mammalia; Rodentia; Muridae. The record is from RNAcentral.
UAAGAAGGCGAGAUGAACUCUUACCUAGAUU